Molecule: ribosomal RNA, 406 nt
Filed under: Penaeus aztecus (brown shrimp)
Lineage: Eukaryota; Metazoa; Arthropoda; Malacostraca; Decapoda; Penaeidae
Description: partial 16S ribosomal RNA
Rfam family: Bacterial large subunit ribosomal RNA
Source: RNAcentral
AAUCAUUAGUCUUUUAAUUGAAGGCUUGUAUGAAUGGUUGGACAAAAAGCAAGCUGUCUCAAUUAUAAUAAUUGAAAUUAACUUUUAAGUGAAAAGGCUUAAAUAAAUUAAGGGGACGAUAAGACCCUAUAAAGCUUGACAAUAAGUCAUUUAUAUUAUAAAUUAUUAGUAUAACUUGAUAUUAAGUGGUGUUUGUUGCGUUGGGGCGACGAGAAUAUAAAAGGUAACUGUUCUUAUAACAUUUAAUAACAGAAAUAUCUGGAAAUUUAAUGAUCCUUUUUUAAAGAUCAUAAGAUUAAGUUACUUUAGGGAUAACAGCGUAAUCCUCCUUGAGAGUCCAUAUCGACAGGAGGGGUUGCGACCUCGAUGUUGAAUUAAGGUAUCCUUACGAUGCAGCAGUUGUAAA